UUUUCGCGAUGGACCAUUCAAGUUUCUGACCCAUCAGCUUGACGGUAGGGUAUUGGCCUACCGAGGCAGCAACGGGUAACGGGGAAUUAGGGUUCGAUUCCGGAGAGGGAGCCUGAGAGACGGCUACCACAUCUAAGGAAGGCAGCAGGCGCGCAAAUUACCCAAUCCCGACACGGGGAGGUAGUGACAAGAAAUAACAAUACAGGGUUAAUGUCUUGUAAUUGGAAUGAUGGUGACUUAAACCCUCACCAGAGUAGCAAUUGGAGGGCAAGUCUGGUGCCAGA
RNAcentral lists this ribosomal RNA (284 nucleotides) under Babesia canis rossi. Its description in RNAcentral is "partial 18S ribosomal RNA". It matches the Rfam family "Eukaryotic small subunit ribosomal RNA", at positions 282 to 571 of the family's 1831-position model. The record is from RNAcentral. Lineage: Eukaryota; Apicomplexa; Aconoidasida; Piroplasmida; Babesiidae.